Transfer RNA from Ovis aries (sheep), 72 nucleotides. It matches the Rfam family "tRNA". Rfam says of the family: Transfer RNA (tRNA) molecules are approximately 80 nucleotides in length. Their secondary structure includes four short double-helical elements and three loops (D, anti-codon, and T loops). Further hydrogen bonds mediate the characteristic L-shaped molecular structure. tRNAs have two regions of fundamental functional importance: the anti-codon, which is responsible for specific mRNA codon recognition, and the 3' end, to which the tRNAs corresponding amino acid is attached (by aminoacyl-tRNA synthetases). tRNAs cope with the degeneracy of the genetic code in two manners: having more than one tRNA (with a specific anti-codon) for a particular amino acid; and 'wobble' base-pairing, i.e. permitting non-standard base-pairing at the 3rd anti-codon position. Lineage: Eukaryota; Metazoa; Chordata; Mammalia; Artiodactyla; Bovidae. The record is from Rfam.
UCCCUGGUGGCUCAGAUGGUAGAGAAUCCGCCUGCAAUGCAGGAGACCUGGGUUCAGUUCCUGGCUUGGGAA